UGCAAGUCGAGCGGUAACAGAAAGUAGCUUGCUACUUUGCUGACGAGCGGCGGACGGGUGAGUAAUGCUUGGGAACAUGCCUUGAGGUGGGGGACAACAGUUGGAAACGACUGCUAAUACCGCAUAAUGUCUACGGACCAAAGGGGGCUUCGGCUCUCGCCUUUAGAUUGGCCCAAGUGGGAUUAGCUAGUUGGUGAGGUAAUGGCUCACCAAGGCAACGAUCCCUAGCUGGUUUGAGAGGAUGAUCAGCCACACUGGAACUGAGACACGGUCCAGACUCCUACGGGAGGCAGCAGUGGGGAAUAUUGCACAAUGGGCGAAAGCCUGAUGCAGCCAUGCCGCGUGUGUGAAGAAGGCCUUCGGGUUGUAAAGCACUUUCAGUCAGGAGGAAAGGGUGUGAGUUAAUACCUCACAUCUGUGACGUUACUGACAGAAGAAGCACCGGCUAACUCCGUGCCAGCAGCCGCGGUAAUACGGAGGGUGCGAGCGUUAAUCGGAAUUACUGGGCGUAAAGCGUACGCAGGCGGUUUGUUAAGCGAGAUGUGAAAGCCCCGGGCUCAACCUGGGAACUGCAUUUCGAACUGGCAAACUAGAGUGUGAUAGAGGGUGGUAGAAUUUCAGGUGUAGCGGUGAAAUGCGUAGAGAUCUGAAGGAAUACCGAUGGCGAAGGCAGCCACCUGGGUCAACACUGACGCUCAUGUACGAAAGCGUGGGGAG
RNAcentral lists this ribosomal RNA (717 nucleotides) under Vibrio sp. RNAcentral's name for it is "bacterial SSU rRNA". It matches the Rfam family "Bacterial small subunit ribosomal RNA", at positions 56 to 768 of the family's 1533-position model. The record is from RNAcentral. Lineage: Bacteria; Pseudomonadati; Pseudomonadota; Gammaproteobacteria; Vibrionales; Vibrionaceae.